AGCAGUGGGGAAUAUUGGACAAUGGGCGCAAGCCUGAUCCAGCAAUGCCGCGUGGAUGAAGAAGGUUUUCGGAUUGUAAAGUCCUUUCGGCGGGGACGAUGAUGACGGUACCCGCAGAAGAAGCCCCGGCUAACUUCGUGCCAGCAGCCGCGGUAAUACGAAGGGGGCUAGCGUUGCUCGGAAUGACUGGGCGUAAAGGGCGCGUAGGCGGAUUUGUCAGUCGGGCGUGAAAUUCCUGGGCUUAACCUGGGGGCUGCGUUCGAGACGGCGGGUCUGGAGUGGGGAAGAGGGUCGUGGAAUUCCCAGUGUAGAGGUGAAAUUCGUAGAUAUUGGAAAUAACACCGGUGGCGAAUGCGCGCGACCUGGUCCUUGACUGACUGUGAGG
RNAcentral lists this ribosomal RNA (385 nucleotides) under uncultured bacterium. RNAcentral's name for it is "bacterial SSU rRNA". It matches the Rfam family "Bacterial small subunit ribosomal RNA", at positions 350 to 751 of the family's 1533-position model. The record is from RNAcentral.